AAAGACUUAGUCCUAACCUUACUGUUAAUUCUCGCUAAACGUAUACAUGCAAGUAUCUGCGUUCCAGUGUAAAUGCCCUUAACGUCUUCUUUCCCCAGACAAAAGGAGCAGGUAUCAGGCACACACUUAUCGUAGCCCAAAACACCUUGCUCAGCCACACCCCCACGGGUACUCAGCAGUAACUAACAUUAAGCAAUAAGUGCAAACUUGACUUAGUUAUAGCGACCAUAGGGUUGGUAAAUCUUGUGCCAGCCACCGCGGUCACACAAGAAACCCAAACUAACAGUAACCGGCGUAAAGUGUGGUAACAUGUUAUCGAAAUAGCUAAGACCAAAACACAACUGAGCUGUCAUAAGCCCAAGAUGUACUUAAAACCCCCAUAAAAAUGAUCUUAGUACCUACGACCAAUUUAAAUCCACGAAAGCCAAGACACAAACUGGGAUUAGAUACCCCACUAUGCUUAGCCCUAAAUCCUGGUACUUACGUUACCUAAGUACCCGCCCGAGAACUACGAGCACAAACGCUUAAAACUCUAAGGACUUGGCGGUGCCCUAAACCCACCUAGAGGAGCCUGUUCUAUAAUCGAUAACCCACGAUACACCCAACCAUCUCUUGCCAACACAGCCUAUAUACCGCCGUCGCCAGCUCGCCUAAAAUGAGAGAACAACAGCGAACACAACAGCUAUCCCAGCUAACAAGACAGGUCAAGGUAUAGCCUAUGAGAUGGAAGAAAUGGGCUACAUUUUCUAAAAUAGAAUACUACGAAAAAGGGUGUGAAAUCCCCUUAGAAGGCGGAUUUAGCAGUAAAACAGAAUAAGAGAGUCUAUUUUAAGCUGGCCCUAGGGCACGUACAUACCGCCCGUCACCCUCCUCACAAGCUACAUUACACUUUAUACAUAAUAAAUCACUAAGCUAAAGAUGAGGUAAGUCGUAACAAGGUAAGUGUACCGGAAGGUGCACUUAGCACAC
Molecule: non-coding RNA, 969 nt
Filed under: Apteryx haastii (Great spotted kiwi)
Lineage: Eukaryota; Metazoa; Chordata; Aves; Apterygiformes; Apterygidae
Description: 12S ribosomal RNA
Rfam family: Bacterial small subunit ribosomal RNA
Source: RNAcentral